This 725-nucleotide long non-coding RNA is filed under the name Arachis ipaensis. Its description in RNAcentral is "long non-coding RNA (AIPA_LNC001044)". Lineage: Eukaryota; Viridiplantae; Streptophyta; Magnoliopsida; Fabales; Fabaceae. The record is from RNAcentral.
AUCAAUUUAUUUGAUCUAAUUUUGAUAAAAAUAACAUAGUUUAAUUAAUUAUAUGUAUUAAAUUUUAAUUACUUAAAAACAUUAAAAAAAGACAUUUUAAACAUCUUUAUCUAAGCGAUUUCCUUCUGAAAAAAGCCAAAGAAGAGGCCAAAAAAGAGGUUAAAAAAGAGACUAACUAUUUUGUAAAACGAAAACUUAUUCCUACAAAAAUGACGGCACACAAUGUCAAAAUGCUUGCAAGUGCAAGCGUGAUGGCUGCCAGAAUCACCCGAAAGCGCCGAUAUUCCGAAGGCUCUUAUUUUUGUCUAAAUUUUGAGUGCAUUGACAUCGUUUGUCGAUGCUAAAGAUCAUUUUCUUGGAAGUUGCACGUUCCUUUUCCACACAAAAGUUUUUGUGUGAAAAAUAGAUGUACCCGUAACGGAGAAUGAUCUUUGUUUUUACCUUAGUUAUUAUUGUGACCCUCCUCACUUAAAAGCCCAAAAUUAUGUGCAGACCUUGUCGGCAACAAAGUAUUAGUAAAUGGUGUUGAGUACACUCAAAAUUUAGAUAGAAGUAAAGAGUUUCUGGGGCUCCGGUACCUUCCGGUGAUUCUGAUAGUCAUUGAGCUUACACUUGCAACCAUCUUGGCAUUGUCUGUUGCCAUUUACCCAGGAGCAAGUUUUCGUCCUACACCCAUACAGAGAUGAGAUAAAAUGGUCGUCUUCUCUUUAGCCUCUUUCUUAACC